CCUACGCGUGGCAGCAGUGGGGAAUAUUGCGCAAUGGGCGAAAGCCUGACGCAGCGACGCCGCGUGAGGGAUGAAGGUCUUCGGAUCGUAAACCUCUGUCAGCAGGGAAGAACGGUCACUGUGCUAAUCAGCAGUGAAUUGACGGUACCUGCAAAGGAAGCACAGGCUACCUACGUGCCAGCAGCCGCGGUAAUACGGAGGGUGCGAGCGGUAAUCGGAAUUACUGGGCGUAAAGCGCUCGUAGGUGGUAUGUCAAGUCAAGGGUGAAAGCCCCGCGCUCAACGUGGGAACUGCCUUUGAAACUGGGCAACUGGAGUGUGUGAGAGGAUAGUGGAAUUCCAGGUGUAGGAGUGAAAUCCGUAGAUAUCUGGAGGAACAUCAGUGGCGAAGGCGACUAUCUGGCACAUAACUGACGCUGAGGAGCGAAAGCGUGGGUAGCAAACAGGAUUAGAUAACCCUGGUAGUC
This 466-nucleotide ribosomal RNA is filed under the name uncultured bacterium. RNAcentral's name for it is "partial 16S ribosomal RNA". It matches the Rfam family "Bacterial small subunit ribosomal RNA", at positions 338 to 795 of the family's 1533-position model. The record is from RNAcentral.